UACGGAGGGUGCAAGCGUUAUCCGGAUUUACUGGGUUUAAAGGGUGCGUAGGUGGGUUGGGAAGUCAGUGGUGAAAUACUUUCGCUUAACGAAGGAACUGCCAUUGAUACUAUCAAUCUUGAAUGUAGUGGAGGUAGGCGGAAUGCGUCAUGUAGCGGUGAAAUGCGCAGAUAUCAGGAAGAACACCCGUGGCUAAGGCGGCUCUCUAGUACGGUACUGACGCUGAGACGCGAAAGCGUGGGGAGCGAACAGG
Molecule: ribosomal RNA, 253 nt
Filed under: uncultured bacterium
Lineage: Bacteria
Description: partial 16S ribosomal RNA
Rfam family: Bacterial small subunit ribosomal RNA
Source: RNAcentral